RNAcentral lists this long non-coding RNA (2032 nucleotides) under Homo sapiens (human). RNAcentral describes it as "HSALNT0403454". The record is from RNAcentral. Lineage: Eukaryota; Metazoa; Chordata; Mammalia; Primates; Hominidae.
GCAGCUCCCGCUUCCUGGUGCAGUGGUGAUGUGAUGGCAAGCUCUCUCUGUGUGUGAUAGAGUUGAGUGGGAAGUGGCAUUCUUCACUUCAGGAUGAAAAGGAGUAGGCUGCUAGACUGUGGGUCUCAAAAUUCCAGAUGAGGAGAGAUUUACUGUGGGCAUCAAUAUUCACCUUCAAAACAUUCACUUACCUAGACAUUCAGUUUAUAAAGAAAAGGCUUUUGUUUUAUUUUUACCCAGGAGACAAAAGCACGUGACUCUGAAUGGGGUGGAAGAAGCUGAUGAAGUUUGCCAGGUGGGUUAGUAUUCUUUCUAGAACACCUGUGCUGUAAUCAGUGUACAUUUUUCUUGCUUCUUAUGAAACUAAAACUGAAUUUCCAUAGGGAUAAUGGUCAUUUAAUUGUCUUCUAAACAGGCAUAUUUUGAGAAAAGUGGGGGCUUCUAUUAAUUAUUCUAGGAAAAUAAGUUAAAGACUGCCCUAGAAAAUCACGAUACAAGAUGUUUCAUCUAUAUGAUUGGCUUUUAGCUUUGCAGAUACUUAGCAGUUUACUGCAGUAACUUUUCCUGCUUGUUUUAUCAACCCAUUUCCAUUUAUUUUUGAUCUUGCAGAAAUAUGUUGACAUUUCUUAUUUGUUGGUAAAAUAUGCACACACACCUCCAUUUCUCUGCCACGUUAUCUUUUUUAUAUGACUGUUCUAUUUUAUACUUGUAUCCUUUUUUUAAUCAGUAGGGUUUUGUGAGGUAUUGGAGACAAAUAUGUGUGCAAAAUUGCAUCUAGAAUUGAUAGAAUUUUAAAGAAAAUUUGUUCAACUUUGGCAUUUGUGGAUUUAAUUGAUGCCACCAGUGAGGCUGUAUUAAUUAUGAUUUAUGUUAAAAUUAAGGUCUGACAAAAGUGAAUAUUUAUUAAGUAUACAGUGUUGAUAGUUAGAAUUAGAGUCAGAAUAUAUGCCCUCUAGGUGGAGAAAAAGACUUUAAGCCAGGAUUAAAGCAGUUGUAUAGCAUUCAUAUAAUAAAGAAUUUUGCUAAUAUAACCAAAUUGGGCAUGAGGUCAGUACCAAAUAAUGAACAGUUUGAGUUGAAAAACAUUUAAAAAGAAAUGCAAAUUUUAAGCUUUUACAUGUUCACUCCAUUGCUCCCUGAGAUCAUUUGGAUAGCAGAGGAAAGGACAUUACAGGCAGAGGGUGUAUGAAGUGCAAUACUCUGAGCAAGGAGCUUGCCUGCUCUGUUCAAAGAACAGUGACAAGUGAUGAGCCCAGUUUAGUUAAGGUGAAAUGAAUAAGGGAGGAGGGAGGAGGAGAUGUAGUCAGAGAAGUAAUGGGGCCAGCUCAUGUAGGUCCUGGUAUACCAUGGUAAGGACUCUUAGUUUUUAUUCUGAGUGAGAUGGAAAGCCAUUGAAAGGUUGUGAAUAGAGGAGUGAGAUUAUGUUUUCAUGGAAUCUCUAUGUCUGUUCUUUGGAGAAUAUGCUGAAGCUGGACAAACUUAUUAUAAAACAGUAGGUCAGGUAGGAGGUAGUUGCAAUAAUACAGACAGCAAUAAGAAGUACUGAAUGAAUGAAUAAAACAUUCAUGUAGGACACUGUAUCAGAAUUUGUAUAUAAAGCAGAGAUCCCUCUUUUCUAGGCUACCAAAUUCUUGAUCUUUCUGAAAGUCGCUUUUUUCAGGCACAGGGAUGGAAGAUGUAUGGAUUCUUCCUUUUCGGAUUCAGGUGCUUCUUCCAAAUAUCCUCCUGUCAGUCUCACUCUGGUGGCUGUCACCCUGCAGGGCUGUGGUUGGUUAUUCUUUACCUUUCUAGAUAAUGCAGAGAAAGGUGUUGUGUAGACCAGCUUCUUCUGUUUCCUCCAAGAUUCAGACUACUCAAACUGCAUGUUCAUUCUCAGAGAGAAAGAAGGGCCAUAUUCCAUUUUCUCAAGAUCCAAUGCACUCACUCAUCUGUUUUUUGAAAGAGUCUUUGUAUUUUGAAAGAGUGACUUCUGACCUCUCAAGGAAACUUUCACAACAUGAGUCUUCAGAGCCCUCGAUUUGGCACUACCUGU